AUGAACGCUGGCGGCGUGCCUAAUACCUGCAAGUCGCGCGCACGGACGAGAAGCUUGCUUCUCUGAUGUUAGCGGCGGACGGGUGAGUAACACGUGGAUAACCUACCUAUAAGACUGGGAUAACUUCGGGAAACCGGAGCUAAUACCGGAUAAUAUUUUGAACCGCAUGGUUCAAAAGUGAAAGACGGUCUUGCUGUCACUUAUAGAUGGAUCCGCGCUGCAUUAGCUAGUUGGUAAGGUAACGGCUUACCAAGGCAACGAUGCAUAGCCGACCUGAGAGGGUGAUCGGCCACACUGGAACUGAGACACGGUCCAGACUCCUACGGGAGGCAGCAGUAGGGAAUCUUCCGCAAUGGGCGAAAGCCUGACGGAGCAACGCCGCGUGAGUGAUGAAGGUCUUCGGAUCGUAAAACUCUGUUAUUAGGGAAGAACAUAUGUGUAAGUAACUGUGCACAUCUUGGCGGUACCUAAUCAGAAAGCCACGGCUAACUACGUG
RNAcentral lists this ribosomal RNA (496 nucleotides) under uncultured bacterium. RNAcentral describes it as "partial 16S ribosomal RNA". It matches the Rfam family "Bacterial small subunit ribosomal RNA", at positions 29 to 507 of the family's 1533-position model. The record is from RNAcentral.